Molecule: ribosomal RNA, 433 nt
Filed under: uncultured bacterium
Lineage: Bacteria
Description: partial 16S ribosomal RNA
Rfam family: Bacterial small subunit ribosomal RNA
Source: RNAcentral
AACGAACGCUGGCGGCAUGCCUAACACAUGCAAGUCGAACGAGACCUUCGGGUCUAGUGGCGCACGGGUGCGUAACGCGUGGGAACCUGCCCUUAGGUUCGGAAUAACUCCCCGAAAGGGGUGCUAAUACCGGAUAAUGUCUUCGGAGCAAAGAUUUAUCGCCUUUGGAUGGGCCCGCGUUGGAUUAGCUAGUUGGUAGGGUAAAAGCCUACCAAGGCGACGAUCCAUAGCUGGUCUGAGAGGAUGAUCAGCCACACUGGGACUGAGACACGGCCCAGACUCCUACGGGAGGCAGCAGUGGGGAAUAUUGGACAAUGGGCGAAAGCCUGAUCCAGCAAUGCCGCGUGAGUGAUGAAGGCCUUAGGGUUGUAAAGCUCUUUUACCCGGGAUGAUAAUGACAGUACCGGGAGAAUAAGCUCCGGCUAACUCCGUG